This 261-nucleotide ribosomal RNA is filed under the name uncultured prokaryote. RNAcentral's name for it is "partial 16S ribosomal RNA". It matches the Rfam family "Bacterial small subunit ribosomal RNA", at positions 524 to 784 of the family's 1533-position model. The record is from RNAcentral.
UACGUAGGUGGCAAGCGUUGUCCGGAUUUAUUGGGCGUAAAGCGCGCGCAGGCGGUCCUUUAAGUCUGAUGUGAAAGCCCACGGCUCAACCGUGGAAGGUCAUUGGAAACUGGGUCACUUGAAUAUAGAAGAGGAAAGUGGAAUUCCAUGUGUAGCGGUGAAAUGCGUAGAUAUAUGGAGGAACACCAGUGGCGAAGGCGACUUUCUGGUCUAUUAUUGACGCUGAGGCUCGAAAGCAUGGGUAGCAAACAGGAUUAGAUA